Long non-coding RNA from Hemicordylus capensis (graceful crag lizard), 318 nucleotides. RefSeq lists it as uncharacterized. The record is from RefSeq and is a predicted model, not a curated record. The transcript has 3 exons. Lineage: Eukaryota; Metazoa; Chordata; Lepidosauria; Squamata; Cordylidae.
CAGCUAUCUAUUGUUUCCAUGCCUGCUGUGUCCCGAUGGCUGGAUGAAAAAGAAUCCUAAUGUCUUUGCAUCUUGUCAUCAGGCCCCUGGAGUUGAAAAUAAUAUGAGUAUAUCACUGGUAAAUGUCAUAAGUACUGAGAGAUGUCAACUGACCACAGUUAAGAGGUCUGGAAUUCAAAUCAAGAGCAACUGAUCUUUAUCUGAAAUGAGUGCAGAUUCGUCGUUAUAGGGCUGUAACACAGCAAUAAAACACGAAAGAAGGUAUCAGAAAUAUGAACAUUGCUUACAGCGCUGGGACUGUGAUGUCAAGACACAGGC